Molecule: ribosomal RNA, 301 nt
Filed under: uncultured bacterium
Lineage: Bacteria
Description: bacterial SSU rRNA
Rfam family: Bacterial small subunit ribosomal RNA
Source: RNAcentral
GCGUGGAUGACGAAGGCCUUCGGGUCGUAAAGUCCUUUUCUCAGGGAAGAACAAGUGAGGGAGUGGAAAGCCCUCGCCCUGACGGUACCUGAGGAAUAAGCAACGGCUAACUCCGUGCCAGCAGCCGCGGUAAUACGGAGGUUGCGAGCGUUGUUCGGAAUAACUGGGCGUAAAGGGAGCGCAGGCGGUUUGGUCAGUCUAAAGUGGAAGCCCGGGGCUCAACCUCGGAAGUGCUUUGGAUACUGCCAAACUUGAGUACGUGAGAGGUAGGCGGAAUUCCUGGUGUAGCGGUGAAAUGCGU